UAGUGAUCUUUUACUCUUGCAGGGGAAUCUGCUGAGAUAUGUACCCUUCCAGUGCCUCUGGUAUUGAUCCAACCCUAGGGCUGGCUGGAUUCACACAACACUUUGUGUCAGAGAACCACAAGUCCAGGGUCAAAGGAUGGUUAUUAAAUGAAGUUCUUCACUUGACUUCUUCCCACAACAUUUUAUUAGAAAAUUUUUCAGAAAUGUUGAAUGAAUUGUUCAGCGGACACUCAUAUGCCCACCCUCUAGUUAAUCCACAAUUACCCUUUUCUACAUUUGCUCUAUGAUCCAUCUAUCCAUCCAUCAGUUUGUCUUAUUACUUUUGUGCAUUACAAAGUAAGUCGUGCUUCAGUUGAUGUUGAGUCUCAGGGACUCCACUCUGCCCAGUGAUUGCUUGGCCUUUGUUUAAACUCCCCUGGAGAUGGGAAACUCACUACCUGAUAUGAUUCCCCAUUACAUCUACUCUGGCUGUCACCAAGUUCCCUUCUGUGCAAGGGGUCCAAUGGCAAGCCCUCCCAGGUGUGACUAUUCAAAGGAAAGACACUGAGAGGAACAAAGAGUCAGAAUUCACUGGAGUUGUUACAGCCUGGUUUUUGGGCCCGGCUCUAGGACUUCCCAUGAAGGAGGUGGCUGGCAGGGUCUGAGAAUGUGCAUUACUAACAAGCUCCCAAGUGUGCCUGAUUUGGCUCAUCUAGGACCCCACUUUGAGAAUUGCUGGUCUAAGCUUACACAGAAACCUGGAGGUACAAUUAUCCCUAAAACAACUGGCUAACCAGAGUGUCGGGUGUCCCUUUGGAAUAGAUCUGGAGACAUGCUUCUGCUCUGAAAGUGCCACAGUCUUUACCUCAAGGGAAGCCAAUGCCACCCCUCUCCUGAUGGCCUUGAAUGCACCUGGUUGCUGGCCAGGGGAUGGGGCAGGUGCCUUCACUGAGCCAACUUGCUCCUGACUUGUGUGUGGUUUCCUUGCAGGCUGUGUCUGCUGGUGCUGGCAUGGGUCCCCCCCCCAGUGGCUUCUUUGGCUUUCUUCUUCACCUGGGUGUACACUGGCUCCACUGACCAUACAGGGAUGGGAUCCUGCCCAGGGAGAGGCAUCAUCAUUCGACCUGGGUGAACUGGUGCACACAAUAACCUUUGUUUGCUUUAUUUCCUCUCUGCCCAAAGCUAAAUGUUCUGUAAAAAAGCAAGUGUGUGUCUCCGAGGUUGCCUUUGCCUCUGUCGGCAGACUGGGGAUGCUGUCUUUCACACUCUACUUUUGCAAAUUAAGUCAUUUAAGAAAAAGUAAACUUGUGUUAGUUGUUGACGGUUUAUUAGUACCCAUCUAGAUGGCCUGGCUGGGGAUAGGUGUGAAUUUCAUUAAUUUCCCCUAUGCUUUUGGGGUUUGGCUUCAAGGUCUUUCUUGAACGACCUCUUGUGAGAGCUUUAAUUAACUCUUGCCAGUGUCAAUAUGUUUUAUUACCUUCUGCAGACUGCAGCCUUCCCCCAUGACUAAUUUACUCAGAUGUUUGGGGCCUUGGUAAUGAAGGCAGGAGCUCUGUGCAGACGCUGAAGUGGAUUAAAUCAUUUCAUGGGCUCCAGUUCUAGGGCAGUUCCUCUCCAUCAGAGGUGAUAAUGGAGGGUCACUCCUCUUUGGGAGGAGGUGUGCACGCCAGCAGACUCUAAGCCUAUGGUGAGUAAUGCUCCUGUGAGGCCAGAGAAAAGUCCCAGAGGCAGCAAUCAAGACAUAGGUUUAUUGGAGAACUUACAUAAAGCCCAGGAGCGGCUGGCUGGAUAAAGCUGCUGGGACCCUUACAGUAAGCAUUUAUAGCACAGCCACUGAGCCUAGUGACUCUCUGUAGCCCCUCCCUCCUUGCACCACCAGCACUCCAGGGAGAUCAAGGCCUGCCACCUGGGCAGUCUUUGUCACAAGGGAGACACUCCGGGUUGUCCACCCCUGGGAACCACUGACCUUGAAUGAUAAAAAACAUGUUAUUCUUCACAUUCUGCUUGAUGGGAAUAGAGAGGGAGGACAGGAUCUCCAUGUUCUCAAGAUAGGGAGUAACAGGGGCAUUCAGGGUAUGUCUGUACCAACUAGCCAUCCGGCAUGUUCCAUACAAGAGGGCACCCUGAAGUUUUAGUCAGUUUUGUUGCAUCAGAAACAGAGAGGCUGAGUUGGUCAUAUGACCUUGGGUGUGGCCUUUGAGAUCACAGACAUGGGGUCCAGGACUUGAAUUCAGGUCCCUGCCAUCACUUAAAAGCUGUGGGGUGUGGCAUAUUCACCCCUGCCUUGGGACCCCUUUCCCUCUAUUUGAUAGUGUGGGUAGGAAUCUUGCCCCUCAGAAGGCCAGAUGUGGGGGGCAUCAUUUCAGCCACAGUGGAUGUGGAGUAGCUGACCUCCAUUGGUUGGGUGGGCUGGGGUCUGUGGAGGUGUGGCCGCUGGGGUAGAAGCAGGGAGCUGGCUGUCACAGUCCCCUCCAGCAGCCACAUUCUAGGGUACACCUGCAGCUCCUUGUGUCUCUGCCCACAGGACAUGAAGGGCUGGGGGGAAGCACCCUUCUGAGGAGCACCUUCCCUAGUCUUAGAGCCCCCACAGAUAGAGCCCAGGGGCCCAUGGUGGCCACCAACCUUCCUCUUUCCUGGCCUUUUCUUCUGACCUCACAUCCUUGGAAACUACUGGCUGUCAUGUCCUUUCAACAUCUGCUGAAACAACAUCCUUUCAUCGGGAAACCCAUGAAGGACAGGAGUGUCAGAGGUGGGACGGAGGUGGGACAGCAUGAGAUUAAAGAGCCUCAAGGACAUGGAGCCCUGCGGGGGUGGGAGGCAGACGUGGGAGGUUGUGGAGAAAAUGAGAGAAGAACUAUUGAAAACUUCACUGAAAACCCAGACAUGUAACACCCAAUACUCAGAACUCAGGUGAUAAAACCCAGGACCCUGGACCAGGAGCAAGUAGUCACUGCCCUGCAGACACAGGCCCGUGUAGCAGGUAGAGGCAUGUAGGGUUGGGAUACCUCAGCCCUCUGAGGCUGCAUCCCCAAAUCCAAGUUAAUCCAAAUGCUGAUCUUUGAGGUUAUUUGGAUUUGAUUGAGGUAAAAUUCAUGUACAGUGAAUUGAAUGUAAGGCUGUAAGUAAAUGAUUCCAUGAGACUUGAGAAAUCCAUACACUCAGGUACCUGGCACCCAGUGGAGACAGUGAGCAUUCCACCCUCCGGAAGCCCCUGCGAUGUCUGCCUCUCCCGAGGCACCAGGCAUUCUGGUUCCUCACCACGGACCAGCCUUUCCCAUCAGCUCCACGUCCAACAGAAUUGCAGAGGUGACACUCCUGUCCCACUUCUUUUGUGUCAUAACGUUCUUGAGGUUGAAGGUGCUUGCUUGUAUGGAGUGUUCGUUCCUUUUUAUUGGGGAGUAUUCCAUUCUGUGAACAGACCACAUUUUGUUUGUUCAGGUACUUGUUGAUGUACAUGACAUUUUUGCCAGGUGUUAGCUAUCAUGAGAAAUGCUGAUAUAAAUGUUCUUAUACAAUUUAUUCAUUAUGUAGACAUAUGAUUUCAUUUCUCUUGGGGACAUCAUUUCCCUGAGUCAUCAUGUGGGUGUAUAUUUAAGUUCACAAAAAACCGCCAGACGCUUCUCCAAAUUGGCUGUACAUUUUCACUCCCAAGAAGGGUGCGUGAGUUCCUGGUGCUCCACAUCCUCACCAGCACUUGCUACUGUCAGUCUUUUUUAGUCAUUUUGGUGGGUGCAUAACAGCAUCUCAUUGUGUAUAUAAUUUGCAAUUUUCUGACAACUAAUGGUGUCGAUCAUCUUUUCAUAUACUUAAUUCUGUGUAUCUUAUUUUGUGAAGCAUUUGUUCAUGUUUUUUUGCUCAUAUUUAAAAACUGUGCAUUUAGUUAUUUUGAGAGAGAGGGGAAGAGAGAGGGAGUGCGGGAAGGGCAGAGAGAGAGGGAGAGAGAGAAUCUCAAGCAGGCUCUGUGCUCCUAGCACAGAGCCUGAUGUGGGGCUCAAUCUCAUGAACUGUGAGAUGGUGACCUGGGCCAAAAUCAAGAGUCAGACACUUAACUGACAGAGCCACCCAGGUGCCCUGUUAUUUACUCAUUUUAAAACUGGAUUGUCUUAUGGAAAACAGUAUGGAGGUUCUUCAAAACAUUAAAAAUAGAACUAACAUACAACCCAGCAAUUGCACUACUAGGUAUUUAUCCAAGGGAUACAGGUGUGCUGUUUCGAAGGGGCACAUGCACCCCAAUGUUUAUAGCAGUGCUAUUGACAAUAGCCAAAGUAUGGAAAAAGCCCAAAUGUCCAUCAAUGGAUGAAUGGAUAAAGAAGAUGUGGUAUGUAUGUACACACACACACACACACACACACAAUGGAGUAUGACUCGGCAAUCAAAAAGAAUGAAAUCUUGCCAUUUACAGCUAUGUGGUAGGGUAUUAUGUUAAGCAAAAUUAGAGAAAGACAAAUACUAUAUGACUUCAUUCAUAUGAGGAAUUUAAGAUACAAAACAGAUGAGCAUAAGGGAAGGGAAGCAAAAAUAAUAUAAAAACAGAGAGGGGGACAAAACAUAAGAGACUUUUAAAUACAGAGAAUAGAGGGUUGCUAGAGGGGUUGUGGGAGGGGGGAUGGGCUAAAUGGGUAAGGAGCAUUAAGGAAUCUACCCCUGAAAUCAUUGUUGUGCUAUAUGCUAACUAAUGUGGAUGCAAAUUAAAAAAUAAAUUAAUUUAAAAAUAAUAAAAUUGGAUUGUAUUUUAAA
Long non-coding RNA from Acinonyx jubatus (cheetah), 4716 nucleotides. RefSeq lists it as uncharacterized. The transcript has 2 exons. NCBI's taxonomy places the organism in Eukaryota, Metazoa, Chordata, Mammalia, Carnivora, Felidae. The record is from RefSeq and is a predicted model, not a curated record.